UUCAUUCUGAAUAUUUUUUUAGUCUCCUACAUUGAGUCAAGGACCUCCAACCAAAAAACUCCACCUUGAAAAUGAUUCAGUUCAAUUUCCAACUUCUACAACACCUCAACCACCUUGUCAAGUCAAGACUGAACGUAUUCAUGAUACUCUCAUUAAACCAAAAGAAGAACCUUUAGACCAUUUAGAUGAGGAUAACACGUCGCAUUCUGGAGAAGAGUCUCACAUGGAUAUUUCCCACAUGUUAGAUACAUCUUUAGGAGAACCUUCUCCUUCAAAUCCUUUUCCUAUCUGGCCAUCAAUGGAUUUUCCACCGCCUAUUCCACAAGAUUCAUCCUCACCAGGCUUGAUUCUUCUUAAAAGUGGAAGAGGACAGUUGGUACUAAUUCAUAAUGGACACAUAUACACUCUCUGUGAUAAAAAAGACUUUCGUAGUCUAUGGGUAUGUGUGAAAAAGAAAACUCUGAAUUGUCCGGGUUGUUUAACAACACUAAAUGGUCCUAUACUACUUUCCUACUGUGGGCACAAUCAUCGACAAAUGCAUGAUAUAAUACAAAAACUCCAAGCACCAAGUUGCAGUAUUUCACCUCUUCUGAAGUUGUAGGAAAGUUGUCCUCCACCUAAUAAUGGUCGUAGCCAAAGAUGAAGAAAAUCAUUAUAAUAUUCUUGAUUUCUGAGUAAUACCAAAAUGUCAUAUGCUAAGUUUGAGAUUAGAAUCCUAUUUAUUUUUUAUUUAAGUAAUUAGAAGAUCAUCCCUCUUUCAGAAUAUAUAUUUUUGUUGCAUUUUUGAAGUGAAUUGACAAUAUUUAGUUAUUAAUUCAAGUAUUUUUUUCCAAAAAUGUUAGCUUAUUUUUGACACCUUGUCCAAGGUGAAUGUUAUCACAAUCUUAUGAUUGAAACAUAUGAAUUAUCAUUUACCAUUAUGAACACAUUCUCAAUACUUUUGACAAUGGUAAAAACGAUAUUUUUUAAAGAAUAUGACUGUUUUUGUUUUAUAUUUCCAUUUUUUAAUAAAAUGAUCAUCAAUUUGA
Leptinotarsa decemlineata (Colorado potato beetle) is the source of this 1028-nucleotide unclassified non-coding RNA. The record is from RefSeq and is a predicted model, not a curated record. Lineage: Eukaryota; Metazoa; Arthropoda; Insecta; Coleoptera; Chrysomelidae.